RNAcentral lists this ribosomal RNA (393 nucleotides) under uncultured bacterium. RNAcentral's name for it is "partial 16S ribosomal RNA". It matches the Rfam family "Bacterial small subunit ribosomal RNA", at positions 523 to 918 of the family's 1533-position model. The record is from RNAcentral.
AUACGGAGGAUGCAAGCGUUAUCCGGAUUUAUUGGGUUUAAAGGGUGCGUAGGCGGUUUGCUAAGCGGGAGGUGAAAUGCCGGCGCUCAACGUCGGAAGUGCCUCCCGAACUGGUGGACUUGAAUGACUCUGCCGUGGGAGGAAUGUGUAGUGUAGCGGUGAAAUGCUUAGAGAUUACACAGAACACCGAUUGCGAAGGCAUCUCACGAAGGGUUGAUUGACGCUGAGGCACGAAAGCGUGAGGAUCAAACAGGAUUAGAUACCCUGGUAGUCCACGCAGUAAACGAUGAUGGCUAACCGCUGGGCUUAUCAGUUCAGUGGCCAAGCGAAAGCGAUAAGCCAUCCACCUGGGGAGUACGACCGCAAGGUUGAAACUCAAAGGAAUUGACGGGG